Molecule: non-coding RNA, 38 nt
Filed under: Escherichia coli
Lineage: Bacteria; Pseudomonadati; Pseudomonadota; Gammaproteobacteria; Enterobacterales; Enterobacteriaceae
Also listed under: 2 other names
Description: JUMPstart RNA
Rfam family: JUMPstart RNA
Source: RNAcentral
CAGUGUAUUGGUAGCUGUUAAGCCAAGGGCGGUAGCGU